RNAcentral lists this ribosomal RNA (397 nucleotides) under uncultured bacterium. RNAcentral's name for it is "partial 16S ribosomal RNA". It matches the Rfam family "Bacterial small subunit ribosomal RNA", at positions 360 to 774 of the family's 1533-position model. The record is from RNAcentral.
AAUAUUGCACAAUGGAGGGAACUCUGAUGCAGCGACGCCGCGUGAGUGAUGAAGGCUUUCGAGUCGUAAAACUCUGUCCUUGGGGACGAUAAUGACGGUACCCAAGGAGGAAGCCCCGGCUAACUACGUGCCAGCAGCCGCGGUAAUACGUAGGGGGCAAGCGUUGUCCGGAAUUACUGGGCGUAAAGGGCGCGUAGGCGGUCUUGUAAGUCAGAUGUGAAAGUCCAGGGCUCAACCGUGGAAUUGCAUUUGAAACUAUAAGACUUGAGUGCAGGAGAGGAGAGCGGAAUUCCUAGUGUAGCGGUGAAAUGCGUAGAGAUUAGGAAGAACACCAGUGGCGAAGGCGGCUCUCUGGACUGUAACUGACGCUGAGGCGCGAAAGCGUGGGGAGCGAACA